Molecule: small RNA, 463 nt
Filed under: Pan troglodytes (chimpanzee)
Lineage: Eukaryota; Metazoa; Chordata; Mammalia; Primates; Hominidae
Description: retained intron
Source: RNAcentral
AAUUUCAGAAAAGAAAAAAAUAGCAGAGAAGAUAAAAGAGAAAGAACGGCAACAGAAGAAAAGGCAAGAAGAAAUUAAAAAGAGGUUAGAAGAACCUGAAGAACCUAAAGUGCUAACACCAGAAGAACAAUUAGCAGAUAAACUGCGGCUAAAGAAAUUACAGGAAGAGUCAGACCUCGAAUUAGCAAAGGAAACUUUUGGUGUUAAUAAUACAGUUUAUGGAAUAGAUGCUAUGAACCCAUCUUCAAGAGAUGACUUUACAGAGUUUGGAAAGUUACUAAAAGAUAAAAUUACACAAUAUGAAAAGUCACUAUAUUAUGCCAGUUUUUUGGAAGUCUUAGUUCGAGAUGUGUGUAUUUCAUGUAAGUAAUUCUAAUUUCUAGCCCCUCUGGGUAGAUUUUUAGUAGGAUGUUCUCUUCAGGAGGUUGAAGGUUAUUUUUUAUUUUCAAGGAUACUAUAAUAC